Molecule: transfer RNA, 76 nt
Filed under: Oxythemis phoenicosceles
Lineage: Eukaryota; Metazoa; Arthropoda; Insecta; Odonata; Libellulidae
Description: tRNA-Val
Source: RNAcentral
AAUUUUUAACUGUGCAAUUCAGUUUAAUUUGAUAAUUAGAAUCUUACUUAUUUUUAUUUUGUUUUAUGAGAAAAAU